Molecule: ribosomal RNA, 474 nt
Filed under: uncultured bacterium
Lineage: Bacteria
Description: bacterial SSU rRNA
Rfam family: Bacterial small subunit ribosomal RNA
Source: RNAcentral
ACUCCUACGGGAGGCAGCAGUGGGGAAUAUUGCACAAUGGGGGAAACCCUGAUGCAGCCAUGCCGCGUGUGUGAAGAAGGCCUUCGGGUUGUAAAGCACUUUCAGUAGGGAGGAAGGUAGUGUAGUUAACACCUGCACUAUUUGACGUUACCUACAGAAGAAGCACCGGCUAACUCCGUGCCAGCAGCCGCGGUAAUACGGAGGGUGCGAGCGUUAAUCGGAAUUACUGGGCGUAAAGCGCAUGCAGGCGGCCUGUUAAGUCAGAUGUGAAAGCCCGGGGCUUAACCUCGGAAUUGCAUUUGAAACUGGCAGGCUAGAGUCUUGUAGAGGGGGGUAGAAUUUCAGGUGUAGCGGUGAAAUGCGUAGAGAUCUGAAGGAAUACCAGUGGCGAAGGCGGCCCCCUGGACAAAGACUGACGCUCAGAUGCGAAAGCGUGGGGAGCAAAACAGGAUUAGAUACCCUGGUAGGAUAGCG